UGCCAGCCGCCGCGGUAAUACGGAAGGUCCAAGCGUUAAUCGGAAUUACUGGGCGUAAAGCGCGCGUAGGCGGUUUAUUAAGUUGGAUGUGAAAUCCCCGGGCUCAACCUGGGAACUGCAUCCAAAACUACAUUUCUUGAGUUUGGUAGAGGAGAGUGGAAUUCCUAGUGUAGAGGUGAAAUUCGUAGAUAUUAGGAGGAACACCAGUGGCGAAGGCGACUCCCUGGGCCAAUACUGACGCUGAGGUUCGAAAGCGUGGGUAGCGAACAGGAUUAGAUA
This 279-nucleotide ribosomal RNA is filed under the name uncultured bacterium. RNAcentral describes it as "partial 16S ribosomal RNA". It matches the Rfam family "Bacterial small subunit ribosomal RNA", at positions 506 to 784 of the family's 1533-position model. The record is from RNAcentral.